CUUGCCUACAUAUUUUUUAAAUAAUUGCCACUGGGCGUUAAGAUCAUUGCAUACAAUUAAUCAACAGGUCGUGAUAUUAUCUCUGGCUCGAAAUUCUUGCUAACUCAUGAUAAUCAAGUUUAACAAUAAAGACUUAUGGGGUAUAUGCCAAUGACGGAACAAUCCUUUUAACAGAAACAAAUAACAUGUUUAUCCUUUAAACACUUGAUUCAGGUUUUUUGUAUGCAAGUCAUAACUUGUCUAAGUUUUGUAAAUAUAAUAACGUCACUUCUCAAGUAUCAUGUAUAUAUGUUUUGUGUUAUUACAAUUAGGUAGCUAAUAUCACAUUUCCACCAUCUGAACUUUUUAAUGAUU
This 354-nucleotide long non-coding RNA is filed under the name Mytilus galloprovincialis (Mediterranean mussel). Lineage: Eukaryota; Metazoa; Mollusca; Bivalvia; Mytilida; Mytilidae. The record is from RNAcentral.